CCGGUCAAAUGCCUGGACGAGCAGAGCUUUAUCUUGCUACUCAUAAGAAUGUAGAUGGAGCAUAUGUAAAUGAAGAGGCAAAGGUUAUCUGUGAAAAAAUUUAGCAAACUCUGAGUCAAAGCACUGUGGAUGAGUCUAUAAUAUCGCCAGAUGAUGCAGUUGGAAAAAUUCUAGGAAAA
Solanum lycopersicum (tomato) is the source of this 179-nucleotide non-coding RNA. NCBI's taxonomy places the organism in Eukaryota, Viridiplantae, Streptophyta, Magnoliopsida, Solanales, Solanaceae. The record is from RefSeq and is a predicted model, not a curated record.